AUACGGAAGGUCCGGGCGUUAUCCGGAUUUAUUGGGUUUAAAGGGAGCGCAGGCGGCACUUCAAGCGUGACGUUAAAUUUCGGGGCUCACCCCCGUUUUGCGUCGCGAACUGUUGUGCUUGAGUAGGCGGCAGGGAGGCGGAAUUCGCGGUGUAGCGGUGAAAUGCUUAGAUAUCGCGAGGAACUCCGAUAGCGCAGGCAGCCUCCCGUUGCUUUACUGACGCUCAUGCUCGAAGGUGCGGGUAUCGAACAGGAUUAGAUACCCUGGUAGUCCGCACUGUAAACGAUGGAUGCCCGCUGUUGGGCCUUUUGGGUUCAGUGGCCAAGAGAAAUCGUUAAGCAUCCCACCUGGGGAGUACGCCGGCAACGGUGAAACUCAAAUGAAUCGACGGGG
This 393-nucleotide ribosomal RNA is filed under the name uncultured bacterium. Its description in RNAcentral is "partial 16S ribosomal RNA". It matches the Rfam family "Bacterial small subunit ribosomal RNA", at positions 523 to 918 of the family's 1533-position model. The record is from RNAcentral.